GAAGAUAGCAGUAGCUCUUAUUGUGGUGGGACAGCGCAUGGGCAGGAUGGUGUAACCAUCCGGCGGUAGCCACCCAUGCGCUAGAUGACAGGCUCCGAAGGGGCCUUUUUUUAUGCCUGAAA
Non-coding RNA from Rhizobium sp. Root708, 122 nucleotides. Lineage: Bacteria; Pseudomonadati; Pseudomonadota; Alphaproteobacteria; Hyphomicrobiales; Rhizobiaceae. The record is from Rfam.